This is a long non-coding RNA of Cyprinus carpio (common carp), 1239 nucleotides long. The record is from Ensembl. NCBI's taxonomy places the organism in Eukaryota, Metazoa, Chordata, Actinopteri, Cypriniformes, Cyprinidae.
AGCGUUUGUAACUUGUGUUUACAUUAGUUGCUUAGAAUUUUACACUUGUCUUCUUGGUGGCUUAUUUAAUUGAUAAAUCCAAAAGGCAAUCAUCGUUAACAUCUGGGGAAGAUGUUGUCAAAAUUAAGAACAGUGCAAUCAAAAAGAGAACGCGACAGAGGCUUGUGCUAAUACAAGAGUAAAUAUCGGCGUGGUGACAGCUCCGAGAUCUGAAGAGAUCUGACGCAAAUACGGCUUUUUAAAUGCUGAACAGAUCCCUGUUUUUUCCAGAUCCAGGAGUGAGAGAGAAAGAGAGAGCAGGAGCUUUUUUCCUCGUCUCCACAGGGAGUGAAGAGAAAUACUGGAUCUGCAGUGUUUGGGAGCGAAUCGGUCUGGAAGCCAAACGAACCUGGCGUCACAUUGAUACAUCAGAAAUCAUAUCAUCAGCGAGAGGCUCAUUUUGCAUACUAACAGGAGAGGAGAGGGAGUCACACUUGUUCGAGAGGACACUCGUGGAAAGCCCACACAGCUCUCGGGCGCAGGCACCUGGAGGAUGUGAAUAUGAUAAGUUGUCACCUCGUCAUGGAGAUUCUCCAUUCGGCCUGGAGAGUGAGACAGUAAUAAUUUUACAGACCUUCACAGUUUCAAAAUAACUUUUAAUAUUAGAGCGGGGAAAAAAGCUGUUGAAUUAUAAACGCCCGCCGCUGCGGUUCUUUGACACCACCAUCUGUCUUUUUGAUGGAGAUGAGGAAAGAGAGAGAGAGGUACAGAGGUCAGCCCGUAACAUGGAGACGGCGAAAAAACCACAGCAGCUGCCGUAACGCCGAGACCGGAGAGUAUUUUCAUAUGCACUUCUCAUUGGGAAGCAAAUCAAACUGUGUGGUCGAUCUGAGGUGAAGGAAAGUCACUUAAAUUCUUAAACACAACAUGGGGCCUGACUGACUGCAUGUCACCUCUUUUUUCACACUGCAGAAACGGAAAACAUGUGAGAAGGAAUGGACGCCUCUGCAAUUGCUCCGACUUGGAUGCUGGCCUUCAUUUGUGUAGGAAAUGCCUGGUGUAAUGAUGCAAGUACACUUUCAUGAGAUGUAUUUACAAAACGAGCACCCCAAAAUGUUGUCAUUACCAGUGGGAACCUCUGGAUCGCUUUAAAGCCACUUUCUGAGGUUCAGAGUCAAUUAAAGAAUCAUGGUGAAAGCAAAUGGUUUCAGCAAUUGCUAAAACAGAAUAGUUCAUCCAGAAAUGAAAAUUCUGUCAGCA